GUCCCCAUAGCUUAAUGGAUAAAGCUCCAACCUUCUAAGUUGGCAAUGGAGGUUCGAUUCCUCCUGGGGACA
Molecule: transfer RNA, 72 nt
Filed under: Elusimicrobia bacterium CG11_big_fil_rev_8_21_14_0_20_64_6
Lineage: Bacteria; Pseudomonadati; Elusimicrobiota
Also listed under: 1 other name
Description: tRNA-Arg
Rfam family: tRNA
About the family: Transfer RNA (tRNA) molecules are approximately 80 nucleotides in length.
Source: RNAcentral